Molecule: small RNA, 135 nt
Filed under: Marmota monax (woodchuck)
Lineage: Eukaryota; Metazoa; Chordata; Mammalia; Rodentia; Sciuridae
Source: RNAcentral
GCCAGGUGCGGUGGCGCAUGCCUGUAAUCCCAGCGGCUUGGGAGGCUGAGAGACAGGAGGAUUGCGAAUUCAAAGCCAGCCUCAGCAAAGGCACGGUAGGGAGGUGCUAAGCAAUUUAGUGAGACCCUGUCUCUA